UACGUAGGGUGCGAGCGUUAAUCGGAAUACUGGGCGUAAAGCGUGCGCAGGCGGUGAUGUAAGACAGAUGUGAAAUCCCCGGGCUCAACCUGGGACCUGCAUUUGUGACUGCAUCGCUAGAGUACGGCAGAGGGGGAUGGAAUUCCGCGUGUAGCAGUGAAAUGCGUAGAUAUGCGGAGGAACACCGAUGGCGAAGGCAAUCCCCUGGGCCUGUACUGACGCUCAUGCACGAAAGCGUGGGGAGCAAACAGG
RNAcentral lists this ribosomal RNA (252 nucleotides) under uncultured bacterium. RNAcentral describes it as "partial 16S ribosomal RNA". It matches the Rfam family "Bacterial small subunit ribosomal RNA", at positions 524 to 776 of the family's 1533-position model. The record is from RNAcentral.